AGUCUGUUUUUUGUUUUUUGCUGGAUGAAAGCGAGGCUCAUUACCAUAAUAAGUCUAGAUAACGAUUUAUAACAUAGACCCAGAGUCUAUGCCUAGUUGAAUGUACAGUUAUAAACUUAAAAUUUACACAUUUGCUUUUGCCUGAACGGUUACAUUAACUCCAGAUACGUUUUUGGGAUUUCAUUAAGAUCUACAGGUUUAUUGUUUUAUAAACUGACGUCUUCUCUUAAGGUUACUGUUUUAGCAGUUAGUUAAAGGUAAA
Molecule: long non-coding RNA, 262 nt
Organism: Physella acuta
Lineage: Eukaryota; Metazoa; Mollusca; Gastropoda; Physidae
Source: RefSeq, a predicted model, not a curated record